Molecule: small nucleolar RNA, 117 nt
Organism: Sardina pilchardus (European sardine)
Lineage: Eukaryota; Metazoa; Chordata; Actinopteri; Clupeiformes; Clupeidae
Product: small nucleolar RNA SNORA26
Exons: 1
Source: RefSeq, a predicted model, not a curated record
UUGCCCAUUUAAGACUGAAGUGUCUUAAUUGACAAACACAGGGGGGUAGAGUUCUCUCAUAAACCUAAAGUAAAGGCUUUCAACACCUUACUUUGGAUCCUGUCGGGAGAAACACUC